Molecule: long non-coding RNA, 322 nt
Organism: Cervus elaphus (red deer)
Lineage: Eukaryota; Metazoa; Chordata; Mammalia; Artiodactyla; Cervidae
Exons: 3
Source: RefSeq, a predicted model, not a curated record
GCCAGUCUCUGUCACUGCCUAAUUUCCAUCUGCCACUUGCUCUGCUGUGAUGUUCAGUCAAUGUCUUCUUUGCUGAUGACAUCUCUUGUGUCGAGGAACAGAAGGGAGACUGCAUCUGUUGGCAGGAAGAGAAAAAAGAAUGUACACAAGACUGUAGCCCAUCAGGCUCCUCUGUCCAUGGGAUUUUCCAGGCAAGAAUACUGAAAUGGACUGCCGUUUCCUUUUCCGGGGUUCUUCCCGACCCAGAGAUCCAACCUGUAUCUCCCAUAUUGUGAGUGGAUUCGUUAAUACUGAACCAUCUGGAAAGUCAAACUUCCAGUUG